Serratia marcescens subsp. marcescens Db11 is the source of this 137-nucleotide non-coding RNA. The record is from Rfam. NCBI's taxonomy places the organism in Bacteria, Pseudomonadati, Pseudomonadota, Gammaproteobacteria, Enterobacterales, Yersiniaceae.
CUUUAAAAAUCUGGAACAAGCUGAAAAUUGAAACAUGACGGCUGAAAUUUAUCCCUCCGUAGACGUAUUGGGAUGAAGAGUAACCUGUCAUAGAGUCUCUCAAAUGUUUGCAGCGCGAACGAUGGAAACAUCUUCGG